UGUGCCAAGGUAGCAUAAUCAUUAGCCUUUUAAUUGAAGGUUGGUAUGAAUGAAUCGACGAGAGAGAGCUCUUUUUUAACCUAUUCUUAAAAAAUUUAAUGACAAAAGUGAAAACACUUUUUUUUAUUUAGAAAGACGAUAAGACCCUAUAAAACUUUAUUAAUAAAUAAGUUUAAAUACCAAGAGAUAUAAUCAAUCUUAUCUUUAAUUAUGCUGGGGCGGCAAAUCUUAUUAUCACAGCUCACCCCAAACAUUUUGCUUUGAAUCAAUCAACCUUAUUCAAAAACUAAUAAAAGUUACUUUAGGGAUAACAGCGUAAUUCUUCUUUAGAGUUCUUAUCGCAGAAAGAGAUUUCGACCUCGAUGUUGAAUUGUUUAGCUUAAAAGAGCAG
This 391-nucleotide ribosomal RNA is filed under the name Campecopea hirsuta. Its description in RNAcentral is "16S ribosomal RNA". It matches the Rfam family "Archaeal large subunit ribosomal RNA", at positions 2027 to 2629 of the family's 2987-position model. Lineage: Eukaryota; Metazoa; Arthropoda; Malacostraca; Isopoda; Sphaeromatidae. The record is from RNAcentral.